UUACUUGGAGGUUCGAAUCCUUCCGUCCCAGA
This 32-nucleotide transfer RNA is filed under the name Anathallis guarujaensis. RNAcentral describes it as "partial tRNA-Gln". The record is from RNAcentral. Lineage: Eukaryota; Viridiplantae; Streptophyta; Magnoliopsida; Asparagales; Orchidaceae.